Molecule: ribosomal RNA, 252 nt
Filed under: uncultured bacterium
Lineage: Bacteria
Description: partial 16S ribosomal RNA
Rfam family: Bacterial small subunit ribosomal RNA
Source: RNAcentral
UACAUGUGGGGCAAGCGUUGUUCGGAAUUACUGGGCCUAAAGGGUGCGUAGGCGGCUUGUUAAGUCAGGGGUGAAAGUUUUCGGCCCAACCGGAAAAUUGCCUUUGAUACUGGCGAGCUCGAGUGCGUGAGGGGUAACCGGAACGAGUGGUGUAGCGGUGAAAUGCGUAGAUAUCACUCGGAAGGCCAAUGGCGAAGGCAGGUUACGGUACGCAACUGACGCUGAGGCACGAAAGCGUGGGGAGCAAACAGG